CUCUGGUCUGUAACUGACGCUGAGGAGCGAAAGCCUGGGGAGCAACCUGGAUUAGAUACCCUUGUAGUUCACGCCGUAACCGAUGACUGUUAAGUGCUAGGGGGUUUCCGCGCAUUAGUGCUGCACCUAAGGCAUUACACACUCCUCCUGGGGAGUAAGGUUGCACGAUUGAAAAUCAAACGAAUUGGGGGGGGCCGGCGCCAAUCGCUUCAGCAUUAAGUUAAUCGAAGCAACGCGAAACACCCUAUCAGGUCGUGACAUCCUUGCCACAUCCUAAAGAUAGCGGCUUCUCGUACGGAGCGAGAGGACACGUUCUGGCUAGGUGUCGUCAAGUUGCGUGCAGAUAAUCUCGCACUAGUUCCUCCACAACAACAGACCUUUGUUAUCAGUAACCAUCCAUCACUCACGCGCUGUUAGUCGAUCACACUUGACUCACCUGAGGAAGAGUGGCGAAGACGUCAAAUCAUCAUGC
This 472-nucleotide ribosomal RNA is filed under the name Bacillus pumilus. RNAcentral describes it as "bacterial SSU rRNA". It matches the Rfam family "Bacterial small subunit ribosomal RNA", at positions 727 to 1198 of the family's 1533-position model. Lineage: Bacteria; Bacillati; Bacillota; Bacilli; Caryophanales; Bacillaceae. The record is from RNAcentral.